Molecule: ribosomal RNA, 253 nt
Filed under: uncultured bacterium
Lineage: Bacteria
Description: partial 16S ribosomal RNA
Rfam family: Bacterial small subunit ribosomal RNA
Source: RNAcentral
UACGUAGGGUGCGAGCGUUGUCCGGAAUUAUUGGGCGUAAAGGGCUCGUAGGCGGUCUGUUACGUCGGGAGUGAAAACUCAGGGCUCAACCCUGAGCCUGCUUCCGAUACGGGCAGACUAGAGGUAUGCAGGGGAGAAUGGAAUUCCUGGUGUAGCGGUGAAAUGCGCAGAUAUCAGGAGGAACACCGGUGGCGAAGGCGGUUCUCUGGGCAUUACCUGACGCUGAGACGCGAAAGCGUGGGGAGCGAACAGG